CCAACUUCCGCCGCGGCCGUUCUCGGGGUCUCCGUCCUCGGACCUGUCCCUGCCGCCACCGGCGGCCAUAGCCCCGAGCUCCCGGCCCCCUCCAUCGCCUACCUUCCUUUGUCCCUUUGCUGCCCGAGUUCCCACCGCCGGCGGUGAGCAUAACCCAGAUCCCCUAACCACAUCGAUGCAUGCCUUCCCUAGUGACGCGGCCACCGACAGCCCCGUCCACCGCUAGCCCUCUCGAAGGACCAAGACAGCGCCCUCCACUUCCUCCUCUCAGGGAAAGAUCCUUCCUAUUCUUCCUCUCUGGAAGGACCAAGACAGCGCCCUCCUCUUCUUCCUCUCAGGGAAAGAUUCCAUAUGUGCUUGUGCUAGAGGCAUGCCGCUGGCACCGUUGGGCCCUCAUUUAUGUUAUACAAGCCAUUUGAGGAUAUGACGUGAUGAGCUAUUUUUCAGUCAAC
Long non-coding RNA from Triticum dicoccoides, 452 nucleotides. RefSeq lists it as uncharacterized. The record is from RefSeq and is a predicted model, not a curated record. The transcript is spliced from 3 exons. NCBI's taxonomy places the organism in Eukaryota, Viridiplantae, Streptophyta, Magnoliopsida, Poales, Poaceae.